AUUGAACGCUGGCGGCAGGCCUAACACAUGCAAGUCGAGCGGUAGCACAGAGAGCUUGCUCUCGGGUGACGAGCGGCGGACGGGUGAGUAAUGUCUGGGAAACUGCCUGAUGGAGGGGGAUAACUACUGGAAACGGUAGCUAAUACCGCAUAACGUCGCAAGACCAAAGUGGGGGACCUUCGGGCCUCAUGCCAUCAGAUGUGCCCAGAUGGGAUUAGCUAGUAGGUGGGGUAAUGGCUCACCUAGGCGACGAUCCCUAGCUGGUCUGAGAGGAUGACCAGCCACACUGGAACUGAGACACGGUCCAGACUCCUACGGGAGGCAGCAGUGGGGAAUAUUGCACAAUGGGCGCAAGCCUGAUGCAGCCAUGCCGCGUGUGUGAAGAAGGCCUUCGGGUUGUAAAGCACUUUCAGCGGGGAGGAAGGCGGUGAGGUUAAUAACCUCAUCGAUUGACGUUACCCGCAGAAGAAGCACCGGCUAACUCCGUGCCAGCAGCCGCGGUAAUACGGAGGGUGCAAGCGUUAAUCGGAAUUACUGGGCGUAAAGCGCACGCAGGCGGUCUGUCAAGUCGGAUGUGAAAUCCCCGGGCUCAACCUGGGAACUGCAUUCGAAACUGGCAGGCUAGAGUCUUGUAGAGGGGGGUAGAAUUCCAGGUGUAGCGGUGAAAUGCGUAGAGAUCUGGAGGAAUACCGGUGGCGAAGGCGGCCCCCUGGACAAAGACUGACGCUCAGGUGCGAAAGCGUGGGGAGCAAACAGGAUUAGACACCCUGGUAGUCCACGCCGUAAACGAUGUCGAUUUGGAGGUUGUGCCCUUGAGGCGUGGCUUCCGGAGCUAACGCGUUAAAUCGACCGCCUGGGGAGUACGGCCGCAAGGUUAAAACUCAAAUGAAUUGACGGGGGCCCGCACAAGCGGUGGAGCAUGUGGUUUAAUUCGAUGCAACGCGAAGAACCUUACCUGGUCUUGACAUCCACAGAACUUUCCAGAGAUGGAUUGGUGCCUUCGGGAACUGUGAGACAGGUGCUGCAUGGCUGUCGUCAGCUCGUGUUGUGAAAUGUUGGGUUAAGUCCCGCAACGAGCGCAACCCUUAUCCUUUGUUGCCAGCGGUCCGGCCGGGAACUCAAAGGAGACUGCCAGUGAUAAACUGGAGGAAGGUGGGGAUGACGUCAAGUCAUCAUGGCCCUUACGACCAGGGCUACACACGUGCUACAAUGGUAUAUACAAAGAGAAGCGACCUCGCGAGAGCAAGCGGACCUCAUAAAGUAUGUCGUAGUCCGGAUUGGAGUCUGCAACUCGACUCCAUGAAGUCGGAAUCGCUAGUAAUCGUAGAUCAGAAUGCUACGGUGAAUACGUUCCCGGGCCU
RNAcentral lists this ribosomal RNA (1361 nucleotides) under uncultured bacterium. Its description in RNAcentral is "bacterial SSU rRNA". It matches the Rfam family "Bacterial small subunit ribosomal RNA", at positions 28 to 1381 of the family's 1533-position model. The record is from RNAcentral.